AACGAACGCUGGCGGCAGGCCUAACACAUGCAAGUCGAACGCCCCGCAAGGGGAGUGGCAGACGGGCGAGUAACACGUGGGAACCUUCCCUAUAGUACGGAAUAGCCCAGGGAAACUUGGAGUAAUACCGUAUACGCCCGAAAGGGGAAAGAAUUUCGCUAUAGGAUGGGCCCGCGUAGGAUUAGCUAGUUGGUGAGGUAAUGGCUCACCAAGGCGACGAUCCUUAGCUGGUUUGAGAGAACGACCAGCCACACUGGGACUGAGACACGGCCCAGACUCCUACGGGAGGCAGCAGUGGGGAAUAUUGGACAAUGGGCGCAAGCCUGAUCCAGCCAUGCCGCGUGAGUGAUGAAGGCCUUAGGGUUGUAAAGCUCUUUUGGCGGGGACGAUAAUGACGGUACCCGCAGAAUAAGUCCCGGCUAACUUCGUG
RNAcentral lists this ribosomal RNA (430 nucleotides) under uncultured bacterium. RNAcentral describes it as "partial 16S ribosomal RNA". It matches the Rfam family "Bacterial small subunit ribosomal RNA", at positions 29 to 507 of the family's 1533-position model. The record is from RNAcentral.